This 1786-nucleotide long non-coding RNA is filed under the name Homo sapiens (human). RNAcentral's name for it is "HSALNT0136834". Lineage: Eukaryota; Metazoa; Chordata; Mammalia; Primates; Hominidae. The record is from RNAcentral.
CAGAAAAGAAUCAGAGGGCACCUUCUGUAACACAGGCCCUGACUCUCUUCCUUCUGAUGAACCUCGCACUGUGACACAGGGGAGAAUCCCAGAGGACAAGAUCCUAAUGAAGCACAGAUCAAAUCAGUUCUCUCCACCAUUAACUGCAAACAAUAAAGAAUACAUUCUUUGAUGGCAGUAACCAGGAGCUGUGAGACUUUUAGACUCUUAAAUCUCUGAAGUGUGCCUACUAAAUGAAUGGAAGUUUUCCCAAAGGACUGGACUCUAACAGAGGCCAUUCUCACCAUUGAUGUGGAUGUGACAUUCCCGGUGCAGCUGUGCUUCAGGAGAAGAAAGAUAUGCUGGACACGCGGGCACCCUGGCAGUGACCCAGAAAGAUGGUAAGGCCAUUGUGUAGGUCACUUUUUCAUGGCCAAAGACAUAGCCUAACUCUUCUGUUAUCAUCUGUAUGGAAAUCGUUGUUCCUUCCUCCUAACCCCUUAAUAAUCAUGGAGUGAGUUAAUGCCUACAGCAUGGAAAAAAGAUUAAGGAUUAAUUGUGGGGGAAAAGCUCCAUUGCAAACAGUUUAUAAAAAGACAGCUUGCUUGGAUACAGUUGUUAGUACUGUAUAUAUGUUAAAAUUUGCACUUGAAUGUCCACAUGCAUUGAGAUAUAUGUCAGUAUUGAAGGUAUUUUACAUCAGAUACUCCAUGUAAGCCGAUACCAUUAUGUAAUGAUGUGUAUCACUGUGUUCUCAAUGUUUUCUAGAAAAGUGAAUAACAUUAGCAAUAGGAAAGGAAAUAGAACCAUAAAUGGUUUGUUAAUUGUUGUUCUGUGAUAUGGGCAUUAACCUGUGUAUGGGUGGCUGCGUGUGGGUGUGCGUUCAUAUUUUUGAGUGUGAGCUUUGUCUUCUGUGCACACACAAUACUACUGUCACCUGGUGCUUUGAGUUGUGCUUCCAGAGAUAAUGAAGAAUUUAUGCUAAUAUAUGCAUUUGACUAAACCCGCUUAUAAUUAAGGGGCAUGAGUUUUCCAGACAAAUGACGUGGGUCAGCUGUGACCACUGAAGCUUGUAACCACUGAAAAGCUAAAAACUACUUUGCCCUAAGGUCAAGUUCCUUAACCUCAGCUAAGAAUGCCAAGUCUUCAUUGAGCAAUGCUGCUCAGCAGAGACAGCAGAAGAGGACCACUCUAUGCGCCCUAGAUCUAUCUUACUUUACAUCUUCCUUUGUAUUUUAUUGUAAAAGUUCUUCAGUUUAAUCAUCUUUCCUUUAGAAAAGGGCCCUGAUAACAUCUGCAAUCAUUCCUUUCAAUUACCAUGUUUGGCCUUCAAAAAGAGGGCAUUUCAAUUUCAUGGUCAAACACAGGAUGCAAUUUUGUACUUGAAAAUAAUGGCAAGAGCUAGACUGGGACAUGGAGGCAGAUGACAUUUUAGCUACCAAUGACCUAGCAUGUUACUGAUUGAACGAGAGCAUCUGAAAUAUCCCCCAGAGUUUCUAGGAAAUUUUAGAACUAGAUUUAUAUUUUGAAACUGCAGAUUAAUAUACUGAAAGAAUUAUUAUCUGACAGACACAACAAAUUAGUACUUGGACUUCAGAAUAAAUGCUGUUGGCAGCAAUUAUUAAAAGCAGUAAUAAGUGCUGUUGAUCUGGCCGCCACUUCCUUCCCUUCCUAAAGUUUUGAUGAAACAUAACCUUUUUGAUGUCACAGGACUAACAAAGAUCUUGAAGUUGAACUGAUACCCACUGGCAUACUGAAAACUGGCAUUCUCUCUUCUAAAGGAUCAGCAUGAAGUCUUGACAAUAAA